RNAcentral lists this ribosomal RNA (900 nucleotides) under Staphylococcus aureus. Its description in RNAcentral is "partial 23S ribosomal RNA". It matches the Rfam family "Bacterial large subunit ribosomal RNA", at positions 1601 to 2502 of the family's 2925-position model. Lineage: Bacteria; Bacillati; Bacillota; Bacilli; Caryophanales; Staphylococcaceae. The record is from RNAcentral.
CACACUGCCGAGAAAAGCCUCUAGAUAGAAAAUAGGUGCCCGUACCGCAAACCGACACAGGUAGUCAAGAUGAGAAUUCUAAGGUGAGCGAGCGAACUCUCGUUAAGGAACUCGGCAAAAUGACCCCGUAACUUCGGGAGAAGGGGUGCUCUUUAGGGUUAACGCCCAGAAGAGCCGCAGUGAAUAGGCCCAAGCGACUGUUUAUCAAAAACACAGGUCUCUGCUAAACCGUAAGGUGAUGUAUAGGGGCUGACGCCUGCCCGGUGCUGGAAGGUUAAGAGGAGUGGUUAGCUUCUGCGAAGCUACGAAUCGAAGCCCCAGUAAACGGCGGCCGUAACUAUAACGGUCCUAAGGUAGCGAAAUUCCUUGUCGGGUAAGUUCCGACCCGCACGAAAGGCGUAACGAUUUGGGCACUGUCUCAACGAGAGACUCGGUGAAAUCAUAGUACCUGUGAAGAUGCAGGUUACCCGCGACAGGACGGAAAGACCCCGUGGAGCUUUACUGUAGCCUGAUAUUGAAAUUCGGCACAGCUUGUACAGGAUAGGUAGGAGCCUUUGAAACGUGAGCGAUAGCUUACGUGGAGGCGCUGGUGGGAUACUACCCUAGCUGUGUUGGCUUUCUAACCCGCACCACUUAUCGUGGUGGGAGACAGUGUCAGGCGGGCAGUUUGACUGGGGCGGUCGCCUCCUAAAAGGUAACGGAGGCGCUCAAAGGUUCCCUCAGAAUGGUUGGAAAUCAUUCAUAGAGUGUAAAGGCAUAAGGGAGCUUGACUGCGAGACCUACAAGUCGAGCAGGGUCGAAAGACGGACUUAGUGAUCCGGUGGUUCCGCAUGGAAGGGCCAUCGCUCAACGGAUAAAAGCUACCCCGGGGAUAACAGGCUUAUCUCCCCCAAGAGUUCA